This 106-nucleotide small RNA is filed under the name Salmonella enterica subsp. enterica serovar Derby. RNAcentral's name for it is "partial RtT sRNA". The stretch from base 5 to 94 matches the Rfam family "RtT RNA", at positions 18 to 118 of the family's 130-position model. Rfam says of the family: This family represents a bacterial cis-regulatory element known as RtT RNA. The exact function of RtT is unknown although it is thought that it may be involved in changing the cellular response in relation to amino acid starvation. Lineage: Bacteria; Pseudomonadati; Pseudomonadota; Gammaproteobacteria; Enterobacterales; Enterobacteriaceae. RNAcentral also lists the same sequence under 1 other name. The record is from RNAcentral.
UGACGAGGAUGAGAACCUCCGGGGGCAAGAGGUUCGACCCGAGCGAAGCGAGAGAACGUUGCGUCAGCAACGGCCCGCAGGGCGAGCCAUCCUCUAUCACCGGCAG